Long non-coding RNA from Cebus imitator (Panamanian white-faced capuchin), 609 nucleotides. RefSeq lists it as uncharacterized. The record is from RefSeq and is a predicted model, not a curated record. NCBI's taxonomy places the organism in Eukaryota, Metazoa, Chordata, Mammalia, Primates, Cebidae. The transcript is spliced from 5 exons.
CAGUCCACGUGCCUAGCAGUGCCUACCAGCCACCAAAAAAACCCAAAAACCUCCCAUCAGAAUGCUGGGUCACAACCCCUUAAUGGCUUGAGAUCCACAACUGGAGAAGCUGUGAUCUUGUAGACUUCCCAGGGAUCAAUGUGAUGAAGACUGAGUCAUCUCUGGAGGUGACAAGAUAGGAUCACUCCGGUGCUCUGGAGAGAAGUGACCAAAGAGGGCUAGAAGGAAGCAACGGGGCUGAUCGGGAGGCCAUCCCAGCAGUCCAGACAAGAGAUGAUGGCGGCUUGGAAUAGGCUGACAGCGAUGGAGGCGGUAUCAAAAGAGGGGCACCUCUUGGCCAAGAUGCUGUGUUAGUCCAUUCUCAUGGCACUAUGAAGAAAAACGCAAGACUCAGCUCUGCUUUCUUCUUGGCAGGCUCCAUUCCCAGGUAGACCCCUUCUGUCUGAUUGUAAGAUGGCUGCAGAACUUCCAGCCUUACACCAUCCAGGAUUCAAGUCCAUUAGGAGAGUCUGUGCCUCUCCCAGCAUCCCUGGCAACAAUUUCAUUGGACCUGGGUCUCUUCCUGAACCAGUUGUGGUGGUCAGUGGACUGUGGUGCUCCAUGAACUUA